This 265-nucleotide ribosomal RNA is filed under the name uncultured archaeon. RNAcentral's name for it is "partial 16S ribosomal RNA". It matches the Rfam family "Archaeal small subunit ribosomal RNA", at positions 719 to 982 of the family's 1478-position model. The record is from RNAcentral.
ACACGACUACAUUAGAUACCCGUGUAGUCCUAGCCGUAAACGAUACUCGCUAGGUGUCGGCCACGGUGCGACCGUUGUCGGUGCCGUAGGGAAGCCGUGAAGCGAGCCACCUGGGAAGUACGGCCGCAAGGCUGAAACUUAAAGGAAUUGGCGGGGGAGCACAACAACGGGUGGAGCUUGCGGUUUAAUUGGACUCAACGCCGGGAAGCUUACCGGAUAAGACAGCGGAAUGAUUGCCGGGCUGAAGACUCUGCAUGACCAGCUG